This 515-nucleotide non-coding RNA is filed under the name Tauraco erythrolophus (red-crested turaco). Its description in RNAcentral is "Eukaryotic large subunit ribosomal RNA". It matches the Rfam family "Eukaryotic large subunit ribosomal RNA", at positions 2521 to 2988 of the family's 3401-position model. Lineage: Eukaryota; Metazoa; Chordata; Aves; Musophagiformes; Musophagidae. The record is from Rfam by way of RNAcentral.
CCUAGUGGACUCUUGACACCAUAAGCAAAGAUUGCUCUAGCUUGUUCCCUGCCAGGCCACUCAGCUUACUUGAAUGUGUGACCCACAGUAGUGCAGGACUUAUGGCUCUAAGUGCCAGGGGACAGUGUCAGGUGGCGCAGCCACACUAGAGCAGUGUAGCUGUCAAACCAAAAUGCAGUCUCUGAGAGUGAGUCCAGGGAAGUUGAAAAUCUCUUGUGGAGCAGAAGGGCAAAAGCUCACCUGAUCUUGAUUUUCAGAUUUUUUGUGAAAGAGGGGCCUUGUGGUACUUCUGACAUUUUGUCUAGUAAGCAAGAGGUGUCAUAAAAGUUACCACAGGGAUGACAGAGGGGUGAAGUGUUUAUGAUGGCACAAAAUUGAAAAUUUAAAGGUUGAAAUUACUUUUUCCAUCUUUGUAUCUCCUCUUCUUUUCAGUGUGAUGCACAAUUCACGCUAGAUUGUUCCUCUGCUAACAAGGAAUGUGACCUGGCUUUUGGCUGUUGUAAGAAAGGUCAGUU